This 411-nucleotide ribosomal RNA is filed under the name uncultured bacterium. Its description in RNAcentral is "bacterial SSU rRNA". It matches the Rfam family "Bacterial small subunit ribosomal RNA", at positions 29 to 429 of the family's 1533-position model. The record is from RNAcentral.
AGCGAACGUUAGCGGCGCGCCUAACACAUGCAAGUCGCACGAGAAAGGGAGCAAUCCCCGGUACAGUGGCGCACGGGUGAGUAACACGUAGAUGACCUUCCCUGGAGUGGUGGAUAACCUGCCGAAAGGCGGGCUAAUACAGCAUGGGACCACAUGGUUUUGACCGAGUGGUGAAAGCGGGCCUCUGUUCACAAGCUCGCGCUCUGGGAUGGGUCUGCGUCCCAUCAGCUAGUUGGUGAGGUAAUGGCUUACCAAGGCAUCGACGGGUAGCUGGUCUGAGAGGAUGACCAGCCACACUGGAACUGAGACACGGUCCAGACUCCUACGGGAGGCAGCAGUGGGGAAUCUUGCGCAAUGGGCGAAAGCCUGACGCAGCGACGCCGCGUGGGUGAUGAAGGCCUCGGUUGUAAG